AGUGAACGCUGGCGGCGGGCCUAACACAUGCAAGUCGAGCGGACGGACGAUAAGAGCUUGCCUCUACCGGUAGCGGCGGACGGGUGGGUGACGAGUACAUAGGCUACUUAUAAUACUUGGGGAACUACGGGGGGCCACUGCUGCUAAUACAGAAUAUAAUGUACCGGAGGAAGCAGGGGAUCUUCAGAGUUUGGGCGUCUCAAUGAGCCGGUGCCGGAUUAGCUAGUUGGCGGGGUAAAGGCACACCAAGGCAACGAUCCGUAGCUGACCUGAGAGGAUGAUCAGCCACACUGGAACUGAGACACGGUCCAGACUCCUACGGGAGGCAGCAGUGGGGAAUAUUGCACAAUGGGCGCAAGCCUGAUGGAGCCAUGCCGCGUGGGUGAUGAAGGCCUUCGGAUCGUAAAGCCCUGUUAUUGGGAAAGAAAAACAGCAUAUGAAUCCCCCGCUGUUCUGACGGUACCCAAAGAAAAAGCACCGGCUAACUUCGUG
This 492-nucleotide ribosomal RNA is filed under the name uncultured bacterium. RNAcentral describes it as "partial 16S ribosomal RNA". It matches the Rfam family "Bacterial small subunit ribosomal RNA", at positions 29 to 507 of the family's 1533-position model. The record is from RNAcentral.